This 142-nucleotide ribosomal RNA is filed under the name Serratia marcescens. RNAcentral describes it as "partial 16S ribosomal RNA". Lineage: Bacteria; Pseudomonadati; Pseudomonadota; Gammaproteobacteria; Enterobacterales; Yersiniaceae. The record is from RNAcentral.
UACACAUGCAAGNUCGNGCGGUAUCACAGGUAAAGCUUGCCUUUCNUGAUGACNAGCGGCGGACGGGUGAGUAAUGUCUGGGAAACUGCCUGAUGGAGNNGGAUAACCUNCCUGGAAACGGUAGCCUAAUACCGCAUAACGU